Molecule: ribosomal RNA, 254 nt
Filed under: uncultured bacterium
Lineage: Bacteria
Description: partial 16S ribosomal RNA
Rfam family: Bacterial small subunit ribosomal RNA
Source: RNAcentral
GACGUAGGGCGCGAGCGUUGUCCGGAUUUAUUGGGCGUAAAGAGCUCGUAGGCGGUUUGUCGCGUCUGCCGUGAAAGUCCGGGGCUCAACUCCGGAUCUGCGGUGGGUACGGGCAGACUAGAGUGAUGUAGGGGGAGACUGGAAUUCCUGGUGUAGCGGUGAAAUGCGCAGAUAUCAGGAGGAACACCGAUGGCGAAGGCAGGUCUCUGGGCAUUAACUGACGCUGAGGAGCGAAAGCAUGGGGAGCGAACAGG